Onthophagus taurus is the source of this 730-nucleotide long non-coding RNA. RefSeq lists it as uncharacterized. The record is from RefSeq and is a predicted model, not a curated record. Lineage: Eukaryota; Metazoa; Arthropoda; Insecta; Coleoptera; Scarabaeidae.
CAGGACUUAUUUACCUCGUUCUCGAGUUUAUAUUACUCACAUAAAGUAUUUUUAUUUUAAAAAUUCCCAAAUGGCAGUGAAUUAAGAUAAAUAUUAAUCAAUAUUUAAUUUUUAUGUUCAGCAUAGGUCUACGCUGGUUGAUUUAAAGCUCUUUCUUUUUUUGCCGCAGAACGGUUUGUUGAUCUUUCUAAAGGUAAUGGUGUCCCACGUAAACCGUGUCCCGAUUUUGAGUCUUCGCCAGGUCAGGGUGACUAAGAAAUAGUUCCUGUAGAGAUUCCAGUCCGUCGUUUUCUGGAAGUCCAAAGACUGCCGUGACUCCAAGAGAAGUCUCAGAAAAUGGCUGGGAGUAACAUCGUUUAGGACUUCAUAGCAUCAAGAUGCAAAAGACUCACACUUUGAUGGAACAGAUGAAGGCAACAACAAAGAUGUUGCGAACAAAUCCUUAGAACCAGUCUCAUUUCAACGCAGGCCCCUAGAUAUUCCAUUUCUAAAAAGCGCGAAAUGUUAAUUGAAGUUAAAAUAAAUAAGAUGAGAUGUAAACAAGAAAUUGGAACGGUAGAAUAGUAUUUGUUUUCGGUAUGAUUAAUGGUCUAAUGUCUGAAAUCUGAGUCGUGAAAUCGAUUGUAAAAGCAAUCAACAAUCGAAACGACAUUUAUCUUCUUGUUUGCAACCCUUGAAGAAAUGAAAAAAUGAGAGACAAAGAAAAAGAAUAAAAGGAUAAUAAAAUGCA